This is a small nucleolar RNA of Lactuca sativa (garden lettuce), 108 nucleotides long. NCBI's taxonomy places the organism in Eukaryota, Viridiplantae, Streptophyta, Magnoliopsida, Asterales, Asteraceae. The record is from RefSeq and is a predicted model, not a curated record.
AGUUCAUUUUGGGGACAAUUUCUCAACAAUCCCUUAUAGAGCUCCCAUGCCUCAUAAAGUGACUCACCCGAAUUUUUGCUCAAAAUUUGCUAUUGCCUUUUUGAGUUU